GUCUACGGCCAUGUCACCCUGAGCAAGCCUGAUCCCGUCUGACCUCGGAAGCUAAGCAGGGUUGGGAGACCACCUAGGAAGACCAGGCACUGUAGGCG
This 98-nucleotide ribosomal RNA is filed under the name Pteropus alecto (black flying fox). The record is from RNAcentral. Lineage: Eukaryota; Metazoa; Chordata; Mammalia; Chiroptera; Pteropodidae.